This 755-nucleotide ribosomal RNA is filed under the name Vestergrenopsis isidiata. RNAcentral describes it as "SSU rRNA". It matches the Rfam family "Eukaryotic small subunit ribosomal RNA", at positions 102 to 866 of the family's 1831-position model. The record is from RNAcentral. Lineage: Eukaryota; Fungi; Ascomycota; Lecanoromycetes; Peltigerales; Koerberiaceae.
UUAAUCAGUUAUCGUUUAUUUGAUAGUACCCUGCUACUUGGAUACCUGUGGUAAUUCUAGAGCUAAUACAUGCUAAAAACCUCGACUUCGGGAGGGGUGUAUUUAUUAGAUAAAAAACCAAUGCCCUCCGGGGCUCCUUGGUGAUUCAUAAUAACUCAACGAAUCGCAUGGCCUUGCGCCGGCGAUGGUUCAUUCAAAUUUCUGCCCUAUCAACUUUCGAUGGUAGGAUAGUGGCCUACCAUGGUUUCUACGGGUAACGGGGAAUUAGGGUUCGAUUCCGGAGAGGGAGCCUGAGAAACGGCUACCACAUCCAAGGAAGGCAGCAGGCGCGCAAAUUACCCAAUCCCGACACGGGGAGGUAGUGACAAUAAAUACUGAUACAGGGCUCUUUCGGGUCUUGUAAUUGGAAUGAGUACAAUUUAAAUCCCUUAACGAGGAACAAUUGGAGGGCAAGUCUGGUGCCAGCAGCCGCGGUAAUACCAGCUCCAAUAGCGUAUAUUAAAGUUGUUGCAGUUAAAAAGCUCGUAGUUGAAACUUGGGCCUGGCUGGCCGGUCCGCCUCACCGCGUGCACUGGUCCGGCCGGGCCUUUCCUUCUGGGGAGCCGCAUGCCCUUUAUUGGGUGUGUCGGGGAACCAGGACUUUUACUUUGAAAAAAUUAGAGUGUUCAAAGCAGGCCUAUGCUCGGAUACAUUAGCAUGGAAUAAUGGAAUAGGACGUGUGGUUCUAUUUUGUUGGUUUCUAGGACCGCCGUAAU